This 494-nucleotide ribosomal RNA is filed under the name uncultured bacterium. Its description in RNAcentral is "partial 16S ribosomal RNA". It matches the Rfam family "Bacterial small subunit ribosomal RNA", at positions 28 to 507 of the family's 1533-position model. The record is from RNAcentral.
GACGAACGCUGGCGGCGUGCUUAACACAUGCAAGUCGAACGGUGAAGCGCCUUCCUUUUUGGUUGGUGUGGAUGAGUGGCGGACGGGUUAGUAACACGUUAGUAACCUGCCCCCUUCUUCGGGAUAACCGCAUGAAAGUGUGGCUAAUACGGGAUAUUCUGGGUCUGUCGCAUGAUGGGUCUGGGAAAGAUAUGGUGUCGGUGGGGGAUGGUCUCGCGGCCUAUCAGCGUGUUGGUGGGGUGAUGGCCUACCAAGGCGGUGACGGGUAGCCGGCCUGAGAGGGUGGACGGUCACACUGGGACUGAGGCACGGCCCCGCCUCCUACGGGAGGCAGCAGUGGGGAAUAUUGCACAAUGGGCGCAAGCCUGAUGCAGCGACGCCGCGUGAGGGAUGGAGGCCUUCGGGUUGUGAACCUCUUUCGCCAGUGAAGCAGGCCUGCCUCGUUUGUGGGUGGGUUGACGGUAGCUGGAUAAGAAGCGCCGGCUAACUACGUG